This 23-nucleotide transfer RNA is filed under the name Scomber scombrus (Atlantic mackerel). Its description in RNAcentral is "partial tRNA-Phe". Lineage: Eukaryota; Metazoa; Chordata; Actinopteri; Scombriformes; Scombridae. The record is from RNAcentral.
GGCCCUGAAAAGCCCCGUAAGCA